This 440-nucleotide ribosomal RNA is filed under the name uncultured bacterium. RNAcentral's name for it is "partial 16S ribosomal RNA". It matches the Rfam family "Bacterial small subunit ribosomal RNA", at positions 338 to 795 of the family's 1533-position model. The record is from RNAcentral.
CCUACGGGGUGCAGCAGUGGGGAAUAUUGCACAAUGGGGGAAACCCUGAUGCAGCGACGCCGCGUGAGUGAAGAAGUAAUUCGUUAUGUAAAGCUCUAUCAGCAGGGAAGAAAAUGACGGUACCUGAGUAAGAAGCCCCGGCUAACUACGUGCCAGCAGCCGCGGUAAUACGUAGGGGGCAAGCGUUAUCCGGAUUUACUGGGUGGAAAGGGAGCGUAGACGGCAGUGCAAGUCUGGAGUGAAAGGCGGGGGCUCAACCCCCGGACUGCUCUGGAAACUGUACGGCUGGAGUGCAGGAGAGGUAAGUGGAAUUCCUAGUGUAGCGGUGAAAUGCGUAGAUAUUAGGAGGAACACCAGUGGCGAAGGCGGCUUACUGGACUGUAACUGACGUUGAGGCUCGAAAGCGUGGGGAGCAAACAGGAUUAGAUACCCUAGUAGUC